GAUGAAGAACGUAGCGAAAUGCGAUACGUAAUGUGAAUUGCAGAAUUCAGUGAAUCAUCGAAUCUUUGAACGCACAUUGCGCCCCCUGGUAUUCCGGGGGGCAUGCCUGUCCGAGCGUCAUUGCAACCCUCAAGCGCGGCUUGUGUGUUGGGCUUCGUCCCCCCGUGGACGUGCCCGAAAGGCAGUGGCGGCGUCCCGAAUGGUGCCCGAGCGUAUGGGAACUCUCUUCCGCUCGAACCGGCCCAUUCGGCGCUGGUCGAACCCCAAUUUUUUUUUACCGGUUGACCUCGGAUCAGGUAGGGAUACCCGCUGAACUUAAGCAUAUCAAUAAGCGGAGGA
This 339-nucleotide unclassified non-coding RNA is filed under the name soil metagenome. RNAcentral's name for it is "partial contains 5.8S ribosomal RNA, internal transcribed spacer 2, and large subunit ribosomal RNA". The stretch from base 1 to 120 matches the Rfam family "5.8S ribosomal RNA", at positions 35 to 154 of the family's 154-position model. The record is from RNAcentral.